Molecule: non-coding RNA, 118 nt
Organism: Colletotrichum godetiae
Lineage: Eukaryota; Fungi; Ascomycota; Sordariomycetes; Glomerellales; Glomerellaceae
Source: the annotation of a RefSeq genome assembly
GCCCGAAUGGCUCAGUGGUAAAGCGUCUCACUAGUAUCUCCGUUGUUUCAAGACUUCAAUCUUUGACAUGAUGGUUCCCGACAUGAGAAGAUCGCCAGUUCGAUUCUGGCUUUGGGCA